RNAcentral lists this long non-coding RNA (600 nucleotides) under Medicago truncatula (barrel medic). RNAcentral's name for it is "lncRNA gene46365". The record is from RNAcentral. Lineage: Eukaryota; Viridiplantae; Streptophyta; Magnoliopsida; Fabales; Fabaceae.
UUCCACCAUUCAUUCAACUAGUAAUUUAUUAAAAUAGAAGUACAAAAUAUCUCUCACACAGCCAUGAGACUCAUGAAAACAUGAUAUAAAUAGACAAAUUAACCAAACCAAACCACAAGAAAGAAACCAACAUAUCCAAAUCCCAUUAUUACAAAUAUAUAUGCCUUAACAAGAUCAAUUACUUCAAUCUUGCUUCCCCAACAAGGUAAGGAUGAACUUCUUGUAGUCUCCUGAAAUUUCCUUUGCCACUGCAUCCUCAAGGUGAACACUGUUUCUCUUAUAAUACAGCUCUUUGAUGUCCUUCAGAUCUUUCUCGGCUCUUGUCACGACCACACGAGUCAGUCCAUCCUCAUCGGUUCCAACCCUUUUCAACGCACCGCGUAGAAUCUAAACAUCAUGGUAAAAAAAAAAAUCAAGGAUAAUCAUCGAUUAAAAUAUGUUACAAGUUUAUGUGUGAGACGGUGUGAAAAUAGUCCUUGAACAAAUUGAAAGUCAGAAACUAAUUAACCUUUUCAUAGUACUUCUUAUGGUCAUUGAUGCAUCGAAUCGUAGUGUGCAAUGCCUUGUGAAAAUCAUCAGAUGCAUUAUCCAACAGUUUCU